GAUGAAGAACGUAGCGAAAUGCGAUACGUAAUGUGAAUUGCAGAAUUCAGUGAAUCAUCGAGUCUUUGAACGCACAUUGCGCCCCCUGGUAUUCCGGGGGGCAUGCCUGUCCGAGCGUCAUUGCUGCCCUCAAGCACGGCUUGUGUGUUGGGCCUCCGUCCUCCUCCCGGGGGACGGGCCCGAAAGGCAGCGGCGGCACCGCGUCCGGUCCUCGAGCGUAUGGGGCUUCCUCACCCGCUCUUGUAGGCCCGGCCGGCGCUUGCCGACACAUCAAUCUUUUUUCCAGGUUGACCUCGGAUCAGGUAGGGAUACCCGCUGAACUUAAGCAUAUCAAUAAGCGGAGGA
This 345-nucleotide unclassified non-coding RNA is filed under the name soil metagenome. RNAcentral's name for it is "partial contains 5.8S ribosomal RNA, internal transcribed spacer 2, and large subunit ribosomal RNA". The stretch from base 1 to 120 matches the Rfam family "5.8S ribosomal RNA", at positions 35 to 154 of the family's 154-position model. The record is from RNAcentral.